UUGUACACAAUAAUUGUCAGUUAACAUAUUUUCUCUCUAUCCCUCUUUCUUCCCCUCUUGUAUAAGGAAAAUAUGAACAAUUAUAUUAUUGGGCUUUUACUAAGACAAAUUGGACAUUUUAUCAGUUUUAAGCAUGGAGAAAGAAAUGGAGAGGGAAUACAUCACAACGAACGUUUAAAAAACCCACUAGAUUUUCAUUCGUGAUGGAUACGAAUGCAAAUAUGGUUAAAUGUGAAAUAAGUAAUUAUAGAGCGAUGAUAAAUAAACUCUUUGACGUUGAUUCAUUCACUUGUUUGGUUUGGAUGAUUGCCAUGGCAAUGAUUAAAGUUUGAAUAAAAAUAAUCAAACGAGGUGUUCUGAGGUCAUAUUUUUAGACACGUUGUUCGAUUUUACAAAAAAUGCGGUGACUUGUUCUUUACGAGCAGAUGGCAGAUAAAACUAGAAGCCAUCUGGACAGUACUUCACCAGAAAGCUGGAUAGAGACACUUCGUCACAUCAAGCUACGAGAAAGUAUAUGAUUAUCUCACCGGCGAAUUCUACUCCGCAACGAAAUCAGACCUUGAAAAUGGCUUCAAAAACCCUGAUUGCUCUCUACUUUCUGAUUGCCUUGGCCGUGGCAGCAAGUGUUUUAGUCGAGGACUCGGAUGAGUUUUACAAUGCUGAUGCGUUGAAUGUCGAUGAAGAUGAGAUCAACAAUUCUGAUGCGUUGAAUGUCGAGGGAGAUGAGAUCGAGAGCGACAUGCACGAAACAAUUAUAAGAAAGAACAACAAGAAAGAAGAAAAAAAAAGCUUGCACUCGGCCCUACCCUAUGGCAACGAAUAGUUUCGAUAAGGCGCAAUCUGCACCUUGGACUCGACCAAAAGCGUCGUAAUCCUCCCCAGGAAGCAGACGAGUUAGAUCUUCUCCAUGUGGUCAGACGACUUCUCUGUUUAUUGAGACUUUUUUCACAUUAAUGAGAAAAAUAUUUUAAAAAUCAUUGGUAUAAUCAGUCAUCACUGAGAUUAACCCUAAGUCCAACGGGUUCAUAACCUUGCCUCUAAAAUAUAAAAU
Molecule: long non-coding RNA, 1051 nt
Organism: Strongylocentrotus purpuratus (purple sea urchin)
Lineage: Eukaryota; Metazoa; Echinodermata; Echinoidea; Camarodonta; Strongylocentrotidae
Exons: 4
Source: RefSeq, a predicted model, not a curated record